Molecule: long non-coding RNA, 1742 nt
Organism: Salvia miltiorrhiza (redroot sage)
Lineage: Eukaryota; Viridiplantae; Streptophyta; Magnoliopsida; Lamiales; Lamiaceae
Exons: 3
Source: RefSeq, a predicted model, not a curated record
ACAUAUUUUCUUCUCGCGCUACUCAACGGCAGAUUCUAUUUUUUAGGGAAAAGGGUCCGCAUAUUCCAAUUUUGAGCAGCGGUUAUCACAAUAAGAAGAACUCAAGGUGAAUUAGAAAUUUAAUCUACAGCUCUAUUAUUGUUCAGAUUUCAAAGCUAUUGUAGAAUUCAAGUGAAUGAUAAUUCAGCCAUUGUCGUUCAGACUUCAGAGCUACUGCCGAUUUUCGGUAAGGUGUUUCUCUAGUAUUAGUCACUCUUAAUCUUGUUUAUUCAUUUCUCUGUUGGUGAUUUGUGUUUAUCAUUACAUCUCACUUGAGUGGGGUUUUUUUUUUAAUAAUUAUAGGGACCGUGAAUUCUAUGACUAUGAGGAGCAAGGUACAAAAGGGCUCAAUUAAUUUAAGUUUUAUGUGAACUUCACAUUGAAUGUGUAGACUACAAAUUUAUGAUUGAAUUUGAAGAACCCGUUACUUGGUUUCAUGAAUCAAUUAAGGUUAUAUGCGAGUAAAGAUCUUCAAGGAUUAUACAUGAAUUAUGUGUUUGCCAUGAACCUGUUAUGCUAGUUGUCUCGUUUCUUCUUUAAUUGUUGGUUAUUGAAAAUAAAAUAAGGAGAACCCAGUUGAUUUUCCAUGAUAUUUGAUUAUUCCAUGAUAUUUUGGUAAGCGUAUCAGUGGUAGCAGACGGUUCCUUUAAGCGACAGUUAAGUGUUGCCGAACACUUAAUUGGACCAGGCAACACCAUUUUUUUUUUAUGUGUCAAGAGGCUAAUCAGAAGAAGGGAAGUAAAUUGAAUUGUUUCUGGAAAGUUUAUGCAUAUUAAUUAGUAUUAAACUAAAGAUAUUUGUUGGUUGUUUUUUGGCAGGGGAUUUGCAAUUUGAAUUCUUCCUCUCUUGAUAGGAGUGUUUAGAGCAAAGUUAGCUUCUUCUUGAGAAUCGUUUACUUUUCUUGGAGGAUUCACGAGCCCUUUCAUAUUCGCUUCAUUAUUCACGUUCGUUGAAAAUGUUCAAGAAACAAUUGGUAUCAAAGCAAGGCGCAAAACUUGUGAGUUUCACUAUUCUUAUUAAUAUCUAAACUUGCAUAAAUUCUAGUAUUAGUUAGAUACUUUUCCCUUUCUGUUUGGGAAGAAGUAUUGCUUUUGAUUAGAUGUGGUUAUAAGGGUGGAUCCAAAUUAUUGAAAGCAGAUUAUACUUGAUUGCUUAAUGCCUAAUUAUUAAACGUGAAUAUUGUAAUAGUUUUAGUACUCUUAAGUUGUAGUAUUCAAAAAAUUUAGGCUCAUAUUUAUCUGUUUGAUUGUCUUAUUGUAUUAUUCUCUUUGUUGACUUCUAAUGACUUUCUGAUUUUGUUGUUAAGUAAUGAUUUGAUUUUGUGGAUUGGUGUGAGGUAACUUCACAUAUAUAACAUAUUCUGAUGUUCUUCUGAAGGUAAAUUUAUAAUUAUUGUUCAUGUUGUCACCUUAUCAAAACUUCAUAAAUAUUUUAGAGUCUUGACACUUUUACUUAUUAGAUUUGAAUUGAUUGAUGGAUGCAGUGAAGUGGGUACUAAUAGAAUGCACAAGAAAUGAAUUUUGGAGGUGUAUAAAGCAGAACUACUUACAGCUAUGAAAGAACACCCAUUUAUCAAUUACUUUUAGGAGCAUUAUACUUGUAUCUUAAUUAUAGUUUGUCAUUUUUUAAUACUUUUUGUAAGGUUGAUGCUACUCCAAAGGAAUAAGCUUAUAGAUUUUGUAUAUGUUUUCCUUGUUUCUUGA